CCUACGGGAGGCAGCAGUAGGGAAUCUUGCGCAAUGGGCGAAAGCCUGACGCAGCCAUGCCGCGUGAAUGAUGAAGGUCUUAGGAUUGUAAAAUUCUUUCACCGGGGACGAUAAUGACGGUACCCGGAGAAGAAGCCCCGGCUAACUUCGUGCCAGCAGCCGCGGUAAUACGAAGGGGGCUAGCGUUGCUCGGAAUUACUGGGCGUAAAGGGAGCGUAGGCGGAUAGUUUAGUCAGAGGUGAAAGCCCAGGGCUCAACCUUGGAACUGCCUUUGAUACUGGCUAUCUUGAGUACGGGAGAGGUGAGUGGAACUCCGAGUGUAGAGGUGAAAUUCGUAGAUAUUCGGAAGAACACCAGUGGCGAAGGCGACUCACUGGCCCGUUACUGACGCUGAGGCUCGAAAGCGUGGGGAGCAAACAGGAUUAGAUACCCUGGUAGUCCACGCUGUAAACGAUGAGUGCUAGUUGUCGGCAUGCAUGCAUGUCGGUGACGCAGCUACGCAUAAGACACUCCGCCGUCGGGGAGGUACGGUCGCGAAGAAUUAAACUACAAUAGAAGUUAGACGGCGUAGAGACGUCGCCGAACGGACGACGACGAGGGAGAGG
RNAcentral lists this ribosomal RNA (605 nucleotides) under uncultured bacterium. RNAcentral describes it as "bacterial SSU rRNA". The stretch from base 1 to 516 matches the Rfam family "Bacterial small subunit ribosomal RNA", at positions 338 to 873 of the family's 1533-position model. The record is from RNAcentral.